CGCCGGCGGUGUGCCUAAUACAUGCAAGUCGAACGCGUUGGCCCAACUGAUUGAACGUGCUUGCACGGACUUGACGUUGGUUUACCAGCGAGUGGCGGACGGGUGAGUAACACGUAGGUAACCUGCCCCAAAGCGGGGGAUAACAUUUGGAAACAGAUGCUAAUACCGCAUAACAAUUUGAAUCGCAUGAUUCAAAUUUAAAAGAUGGUUUUGGCUAUCACUUUGGGAUGGACCUGCGGCGCAUUAGCUUGUUGGUAGGGUAACGGCCUACCAAGGCUGUGAUGCGUAGCCGAGUUGAGAGACUGAUCGGCCACAAUGGAACUGAGACACGGUCCAUACUCCUACGGGAGGCAGCAGUAGGGAAUCUUCCACAAUGGGCGCAAGCCUGAUGGAGCAACACCGCGUGAGUGAAGAAGGGUUUCGGCUCGUAAAGCUCUGUUGUUAGAGAAGAACGUGCGUGAGAGCAACUGUUCACGCAGUGACGGUAUCUAACCAGAAAGUCACGGCUAACUACGUGCCAGCAGCCGCGGUAAUACGUAGGUGGCAAGCGUUAUCCGGAUUUAUUGGGCGUAAAGCGAGCGCAGGCGGUUUGAUAAGUCUGAUGUGAAAGCCUUUGGCUUAACCAAAGAAGUGCAUCGGAAACUGUCAGACUUGAGUGCAGAAGAGGACAGUGGAACUCCAUGUGUAGCGGUGGAAUGCGUAGAUAUAUGGAAGAACACCAGUGGCGAAGGCGGCUGUCUGGUCUGCAACUGACGCUGAGGCUCGAAAGCAUGGGUAGCGAACAGGAUUAGAUACCCUGGUAGUCCAUGCCGUAAACGAUGAGUGCUAGGUGUUGGAGGGUUUCCGCC
RNAcentral lists this ribosomal RNA (848 nucleotides) under uncultured bacterium. Its description in RNAcentral is "bacterial SSU rRNA". It matches the Rfam family "Bacterial small subunit ribosomal RNA", at positions 34 to 838 of the family's 1533-position model. The record is from RNAcentral.